This 492-nucleotide ribosomal RNA is filed under the name uncultured bacterium. RNAcentral's name for it is "partial 16S ribosomal RNA". It matches the Rfam family "Bacterial small subunit ribosomal RNA", at positions 27 to 507 of the family's 1533-position model. The record is from RNAcentral.
GAGUGAACGCUGGCGGUAGGCCUAACACAUGCAAGUCGAACGGCAGCACAGUAAGAGCUUGCUCUUACGGGUGGCGAGUGGCGGACGGGUGAGGAAUACAUCGGAAUCUACUUUUUCGUGGGGAUAACGUAGGGAAACUUACGCUAAUACCGCAUACGACCUACGGGUGAAAGCAGGGGAUCUUCGGACCUUGCGCGAUUGAAUGAGCCGAUGUCGGAUUAGCUAGUUGGCGGGGUAAAGGCCCACCAAGGCGACGAUCCGUAGCUGGUCUGAGAGGAUGAUCAGCCACACUGGAACUGAGACACGGUCCAGACUCCUACGGGAGGCAGCAGUGGGGAAUAUUGGACAAUGGGCGCAAGCCUGAUCCAGCCAUACCGCGUGGGUGAAGAAGGCCUUCGGGUUGUAAAGCCCUUUUGUUGGGAAAGAAAAGCAGCAGGUUAAUACCCCGCUGUUCUGACGGUACCCAAAGAAUAAGCACCGGCUAACUUCGUG